AUGCUCCGGAACGUGCUCUCCGUCCUCGUCCCGGGCUGCCCCGCGCUCGCCCACGUCUGCCUCCAGACCGGCCGCAAGCACUACAUCGGCCCGUACGAGGCCAUCGGCAAGAUCCCCGUCCCAGACCCGCCCUACACCGAGGAUAUGCCCCGCCUCGAUUACCCCAACUUCUACUACGACCAGGAGGACGUCCUCUUUGAGGAGGUCUCCCGCCGCGACGGCGCCGUCAGCUGGUCUGUGCACCGUCCCUCCGUGGUCUUUGGGUUCUCUCCCCGGAGCGCCAUGAAUGUCGUGGCCAGCCUAUCCGUCUAUGCCGCCAUCUGCCGCAAGGAGGGCGCCAUGCUGAGGUGGCCUGGGAGCAGGGUUGCAUGGGAGGGCUUCAGCGACGCCUCCGACGCGGAUCUUGUCGCCGAGCAGGAGAUCUGGGCAGCCGUCGAUCCGUUGGCAAGGAACGAGGCUUUCAAUUGCAGCAAUGGAGAUUUAUACAAGUGGAAGCAGCUCUGGCCGAUGGUGGCUGACCGAUUCGGGGUGGAGUGGGCGGGAUACGAGGGAGAGGACAGCCAGUUCAUGCUCGCCGACGCCAUGGCCGGGAAGGAGGCGGUGUGGGCAGAGAUCCUCCAGGAGAACGAGCUUGUCACGACUGAGCUCCAAGAGAUUGCCAAUUGGUGGUUCCUCGAUGCCGUGUUCAAUGUCAAGUGUGAGCAUUUGGAUAGCAUGAACAAGAGCAAGGAGCAUGGAUUCCUUGGAUUCCGUAACACGGCCAAGUCCUUCAACGCAUGGAUUGAUAAGAUGAAGGUUUUGAAGAUUGUUCCAUGA
Molecule: ribosomal RNA, 816 nt
Filed under: Triticum aestivum (bread wheat)
Lineage: Eukaryota; Viridiplantae; Streptophyta; Magnoliopsida; Poales; Poaceae
Description: partial small subunit ribosomal RNA
Source: RNAcentral